This is a long non-coding RNA of Uranotaenia lowii, 1128 nucleotides long. RefSeq lists it as uncharacterized. Lineage: Eukaryota; Metazoa; Arthropoda; Insecta; Diptera; Culicidae. The transcript has 3 exons. The record is from RefSeq and is a predicted model, not a curated record.
CCCGACGGUCGCGACUUUGCUGAGCGUCGCGAGUAGAAAACAUCCACGCGGCCGCUAUCUUAAAAGGUUGAGCAACCUAACCAAGUACAACUGCAGCGAAAAAAAAAAACGGAAAGAAUCACUCCUUUCGCUCAGAGCAGAGCACAUAGCUCUUAAUGCAAGUCGCGUACUUGACCAAUUCGCUGCGAAAUCUACCACUUUGAAUAACCUUCAGCCUGGUCCAAGCAGUUGUUACUAGAAGAUAAUUGUUUCAGCUCAGUUGACAAGUUUCAAGUGCAGAACAACCGUUCAGUUCCUUGAUCCCGAUUUUGCUGAAAAGGUGGUAAUUUCUCCUACACAUCGCUACCGGAGCCUUUUAUUGGUGCUAAAAGUUGAACACGAUAUUUUCCCUGUAGUGUAAUUUAGACCAGCUGCGCAUAGCUGAAUCCAAUCGAAAAGCGGAAAAGAGUGUCUCCUCAGUUUGUGAAAGUGUGCAAAGUUGCGUUAUACCUACCAUUACGUUGGUUGUUUUUCCCCACUGAUUUCCUGGUGUCAAUUUAAAGCUACUUAGCGAGCUGAGUCUGGUUUGUUGUACUGUGAAGUCACUCUCCGGAUGUACUUAGUAGCUUAUUGUUGUGGGAAACAAGUUCAACUUUUUGUUCCAAAGAUCAGCACUAGGAUAAGCAUCAACUAGUUUAUUCAACGCUUGGAAAUACAGAAAAAAGACUGGCAACUAUCGGCUGCUGCACUGAUUUUGCUUUUCCAGAUUUAACCCACCAGCAGCUGAUUGGAUUAGGAGACUUCCGCUAUCGAGUUAGGAACGAAUCAACAUCCUCUAUCUUCAAUGGGUUGACACGAUUUCCGAGUCCGGGUUCUACUGGUGGCGGGAAACACACAGUAGAAAGCAUUGAACCUGAUUCCUCAUUUUUUUUUUUGCAAAAAUAAGAAAUCACUUGUUGGCGGUGCAGAACUUCCAGGCCGAUCACAGACAGACAUCAUUAGAUGUCGGCCUAGGUUUUCGUUGGAAAAAGAUUGGCAUCAUCAACCUUGAACAGAUCACGAAAAUGUCAAGUGCUCGUUGCACUUGAAUUGGUAUGCAAAAUUAAAACAGCAGAUGAACUCUAAAUUUUGGUUACGCUAUUUAUAUCA